GGAUGCUAGUGGCUACAGGUCCCAGUCUUUGCUUUCUUGAGUGGGAAGCGCGCGUGUGUUGGGGGUGGGUGGUCGUGAUCUGUGCAGUGUCUCCCAAACCACCACUUCCCCGCCCACCCACUAGCUGCUUGAAAAGCCUGCUUUCCUCCAGGUCGUCCCACGGCGUCUAUACCCGCCUCCCCUUCUCUCCAGUCUCGGUCUCCGCCCCCUAGCUCACUGGAGGCCUCGCCGCUUUAAGAGCCGGGGUAGCGAUUGACAAGCAAUAAACGCGGAGCGCCGGGCUGUGCUGGAGCCACCCCGAGCUAGGGGCCUCCAGGGGCUCAGGGUCCGUCUAGAGAGAGACCAAACCCCGCUGCCCACUGACGCUGCCCAUCCCCGCCCCCGCGGUGAGGGCUCCAAAGUGACGUCAGGCACAGAGCGGGUGAGCUGUUCGGGGCGCUGGUGUCCGUGCGGCCUCUCCAGGGGCUGUGCGGAUUCUGGGGACUUCAGAGCCAGGCAUUACGUAAGAAUCGCGCUGUUAGCUCUUCCAGGGGUGGGGGCGCAAGACAGAGAUUGUGUGGGUCCCCGUGGCUCCCCGGCCACCUUAGGAGACCAACACCUCAAUCCUUCCUGGGAGGGGGUCCUGGGAAGGGGGUGUGCUGCUGCUUCCGCCUCUCAGGUUGUAGAGGGGGCGGGUCUGGGGCGGGGGCCAAGGCUAAGAUCUGGGGACCUGGGAAGGGAUCGGUGCCAGGACCGAGGAGCCAGGGCCAGGAAAGUUAGGUCAACUGGGGCGGGGGCCGGGGGGGAGAGUGAGGACGGGGCGGGGGGGGGGCAGCCAUGCAGUGACCUCAUCCCUGGUCUCCAGCGGGCGCUCAAGCAAAGAGCCUUCUUUGAUGGCUCGCAACACACCCCCCUCCCUCUAGGUCCUAGCGCCCAACGUAUUAGUGCUGGACCCUGGGCCGGGGCGCUCUGAUUCUCAGUGCAUGCUGGCCCCCGCGACCACUUAGGCCCCCAUCCCUCAGUCUGUCUACCCCUCCCCACGACCUGUCGGUCUGCAAAGCGCCUUUGUCAGACCUUUCUUCUCUACAUCUCUUUGUACGUGUGUUGAUGGAGCUUGGAGGAAACCUCCCCCUUUCCCGGUGGGCCCGCAUCAUCUAGCAACCCUGAGCGAAGUGGAGAGCCUGGAGGUAGGGGUGAGGGGGCACAGGGCUCAGGCUUUAGGAAGCCGAGUUGCGGGUUCCCAGAUGCCUGGGCUCCUGACCUUGGCUCGGAGCCAGGCUGGCUUGCCUGGCACUGCUGUUCUCCUGUGGGCACAGCCGGACCCCGCCUUCUUCAAGGCUUUGGUGGGGGUGGGGCAGAGCUAGCCGAUGUCGUGGGAACCGACUCCCCAGGGAGAAAACCCAGGCUGGCUGGGCAAGACUUCUGGGGACAGGACCUCCCUGCCCCUUCCCAUUCUCCAACCUCUGGGGAAGGAGGACAUGUGGAAUUCUCUUUGCCAGUAACUGUCAGAGAGAGUAGCGCCAGCCAGGAGAAGGCUCUAGGUUCCAGGUCCUCAGAACCUGAGAGGGGGAGGAAGGGAUCCCUCCGCGACGCUCUCUAGGAAUAGGGACAACAGGAGUUGGCAUCCGGGGCACUACCUGGCACAGUGGAUCCUGGGCACUGCUCCAGCCUGGGUGCCAGCCUGACGGGGGGGGGGG
This 1676-nucleotide long non-coding RNA is filed under the name Sus scrofa (pig). RNAcentral's name for it is "lncRNA (ENSSSCG00050035672.1)". Lineage: Eukaryota; Metazoa; Chordata; Mammalia; Artiodactyla; Suidae. The record is from RNAcentral.